This 448-nucleotide ribosomal RNA is filed under the name uncultured bacterium. Its description in RNAcentral is "bacterial SSU rRNA". It matches the Rfam family "Bacterial small subunit ribosomal RNA", at positions 328 to 795 of the family's 1533-position model. The record is from RNAcentral.
UUCCCAGACUCCUACGGGAGGCAGCAGUGGGGGAUAUUGCACAAUGGGGGAAACCCUGAUGCAGCGAUGCCGCGUGAAUGAAGACGGCCUUUGGGUUGUAAAGUUCUGUCGCAGGGGACGAAAAUGACGGUACCCUGCAAGAAAGCUCCGGCUAACUCCGUGCCAGCAGCCGCGGUAAUACGGAGGAUGCGAGCGUUAUCCGGAUUUAUUGGGUUUAAAGGGUGCGUAGGCGGAAUGCCAAGUCAGCGGUAAAAUCGGGGGGCUCAACCUCGCUCCGCCGUUGAAACUGGCGUUCUUGAGUGGGCGAGAAGUAUGCGGAAUGCGUGGUGUAGCGGUGAAAUGCAUAGAUAUCACGCAGAACUCCGAUUGCGAAGGCAGCAUACCGGCGCCCAACUGACGCUGAAGCACGAAAGCGUGGGUAUCGAACAGGAUUAGAUACCCGUGUAAC